This 253-nucleotide ribosomal RNA is filed under the name uncultured bacterium. Its description in RNAcentral is "partial 16S ribosomal RNA". It matches the Rfam family "Bacterial small subunit ribosomal RNA", at positions 524 to 776 of the family's 1533-position model. The record is from RNAcentral.
UACGGGGGGGGCAAGCGUUGUUCGGAAUUACUGGGCGUAAAGAGCUCGUAGGUGGUUUGUCGCGUUGUUCGUGAAAACCGGGGGCUUAACCCUCGGCGUGCGGGCGAUACGGGCAGACUUGAGUACUGCAGGGGAGACUGGAAUUCCUGGUGUAGCGGUGGAAUGCGCAGAUAUCAGGAGGAACACCGGUGGCGAAGGCGGGAUCCUGGGCCAGUACUGACGCUGAGGAGCGAAAGCGUGGGGAGCAAACAGG